RNAcentral lists this small nuclear RNA (24 nucleotides) under Arabidopsis thaliana (thale cress). RNAcentral describes it as "snRNA_06656". The record is from RNAcentral. Lineage: Eukaryota; Viridiplantae; Streptophyta; Magnoliopsida; Brassicales; Brassicaceae.
GCCUACCAAAUACUAAAUUAUAGU